UUUCUGACCCUGAGACAAACAAUAAAACAUUAAUAUUUGCAUACAGCUUAAGUACCUAUUAUUAUCUGGGCAAUGCCUUUUUUCAGCGCAAUGACAUUCUAGUUGGAAUUCUAAAAGCAUCAAAUCAUCAAUUUCAAAAGAAACAAAAUGAAGCUGAAGGCCAAAGCUUUGACUUUUGUAACAACCAGAAACGGAUCUAAUACAGGAAUAACCAUGCCAAGAUUCGGGAAGAUAGCCUCUGAC
This is a long non-coding RNA of Hibiscus syriacus, 243 nucleotides long. RefSeq lists it as uncharacterized. NCBI's taxonomy places the organism in Eukaryota, Viridiplantae, Streptophyta, Magnoliopsida, Malvales, Malvaceae. The transcript is spliced from 2 exons. The record is from RefSeq and is a predicted model, not a curated record.